Molecule: ribosomal RNA, 440 nt
Filed under: uncultured bacterium
Lineage: Bacteria
Description: partial 16S ribosomal RNA
Rfam family: Bacterial small subunit ribosomal RNA
Source: RNAcentral
CCUACGGGAGGCAGCAGUAGGGAAUAUUGCUCAAUGGGGGAAACCCUGAAGCAGCAACGCCGCGUGGAGGAUGAAGGUUUUCGGAUUGUAAACUCCUUUUGUUAGAGAAGAUAAUGACGGUAUCUAACGAAUAAGCACCGGCUAACUCCGUGCCAGCAGCCGCGGUCAUACGGAGGGUGCGAGCGUUACUCGGAAUCACUGGGCGUAAAGAGCGCGUAGGCGGGAUAGCAAGUCAGAUGUGAAAUCCUAUGGCUUAACCAUAGAACUGCAUUUGAAACUGUUAUUCUAGAGUAUGGGAGAGGUAGGUGGAAUUCUUGGUGUAGGGGUAAAAUCCGUAGAGAUCAAGAGGAAUACUCAUUGCGAAGGCGACCUGCUAGAACAUAACUGACGCUGAUGCGCGAAAGCGUGGGGAGCAAACAGGAUUAGAUACCCCGGUAGUC